CCUACGGGGUGCAGCAGUGGGGAAUAUUGCACAAUGGGGGAAACCCUGAUGCAGCGACGCCGCGUGAGUGAAGAAGUAAUUCGGUAUGUAAAGCUCUAUCAGCAGGGAAGAAAAUGACGGUACCUGAGUAAGAAGCCCCGGCUAACUACGUGCCAGCAGCCGCGGUAAUACGGAGGGGGCAAGCGUUAUCCGGAUUUACUGGGUGUAAAGGGAGCGUAGACGGCAGUGCAAGUCUGGAGUGAAAGGCUGGGGCUCAACCCCCGGACUGCUCUGGAAAGCGUACGGCUAGAGUGCAGGAGAGGUAAGUGGAAUUCCUAGUGUAGCGGUGAAAUGCGUAGAUAUUAGGAGGAACACCAGUGGCGAAGGCGGCUUACUGGACUGUAACUGACGUUGAGGCUCGAAAGCGUGGGGAGCAAACAGGAUUAGAUACCCGUGUAGUC
Molecule: ribosomal RNA, 440 nt
Filed under: uncultured bacterium
Lineage: Bacteria
Description: partial 16S ribosomal RNA
Rfam family: Bacterial small subunit ribosomal RNA
Source: RNAcentral